RNAcentral lists this long non-coding RNA (4452 nucleotides) under Coffea arabica (coffee). RNAcentral's name for it is "long non-coding RNA (CARA_LNC004116)". The stretch from base 408 to 514 matches the Rfam family "Plant small nucleolar RNA R71". Lineage: Eukaryota; Viridiplantae; Streptophyta; Magnoliopsida; Gentianales; Rubiaceae. The record is from RNAcentral.
AGUACGGGUCGUACUACCUGCCGGGCGCGGGCACGCCUCCAGCCAUGUUUACCUGUUCCGCCCCGUCCUCUUGCAAAAUGGGGCACGUGUCCGUGCAGUGGUCCAUGCUAGUACAGAUUCCACACACCUUUGCUCGCGGCGUGUCUCUCAUGACUAAUUACCUAACAACAGACGUCAAUUCUGACAGUUGCUGGUGUAUGGAUAAAGUCUCUACCUCAUUGACUCUACGGGGAGGGUUGCUCUCACGGAAGCCAAAUUGCUGGGAGUUCUCUGCCAUGGCUUUGAUGAGCUCCCACGCCUCCCUCGGUGUCUUGUUUGCAAGUGCUCCCCCACUCGCAGCGUCAAUGAUACUCCUAUCGGUUGAUUGGAGCCCUUCAUAGAAGUAUUGGAUUAACAGUUGUUCACUAAUUUGAUGCUGCGGGCAUCUAGUGCACAACUUGUUAAACCUUUCCCAGUAUUCAUACAAGAACUCACCGGGAUAUUGUUUAAUGCCGCAGAUCUCCUUCCUCAAACUCGCAGCCCGGGAUGCAGGGAAGAAUUUUUCUAAAAACUUCUUUUUUAACUGUGCCCAUGUGGUAAUAUUACCCGCUAGUAGGUAGUAUAACCAAUCUUUUGCUGCAUCUUUGAGAGAGAAGGGGAAAGCUUUAAGUCUUAUCUGCUCCUCAGUGAGCCCAGGAGGUUUCAUGCUAGAGCAAACUAACUCGAACUCCUUGACAUGUUUGUGGGGUUCUUCGCCAGAGAGACCAUGGAAAGAAGGUAAGAAGUGAAUCAGUCCCGACUUCAGUUCGAAAGCAGUAUUCUCUGCCAAAGUGGGGAAUGUGAUGCAUAAGGGCUGGUGAGUCAACUCCGGGGCAGCCAGCUCCCUUAAUGUUUGGGCGUUGGCCAUGCUUAUUUCGUCUUCUACUGACUCGUUUGCAACAAAGAAGUGUCCUUCUUUUCGUCUCUUGGUCUCUUGCCUCCGCCUACGCGCUGCCUUCUCAACCUCAAGAUCGUAUAUCAAUUCACCUGUGCGAGAAGAACGGGGCAUAAACUAACAAAAAUACCAAGAAGAAUAAAAUAAAAUAAAAACUGAAUUUAAAAAGAAACAAAUAAUCCAAACGCCAACUCCGGGGCAACGGCGCCAAAAAUUGACAGGUGCCGAAUCUGUGCAAUAAUAAUUACUAAAAAGUCUUAAUUACCACAUCAAUUAAAUAAUUAUAGAACAAAUCCAAGUACUGGAGCAGGGACCCUAGGUGUGCAAUGGGUUACUUGAUUCACCCUGUUCCCGAAGAGUUUGCUUGAUCCGAUAUACCGGAUUUAUCUAUAAAAAUACUAAUUUUGCGUACAAUGGCAAGUAGGGUCGAUUCCACAGGGAGCAGAUAGGAAAUUAUUUCUUUCCAAAUUAGUAGAACGAAAUUGGGGGAUUUUCAAUGGGAGACAAAUAAAAAUAAAAUAAAAUAAAACAAACAAAAUUCAAAACUAACUCACAAAGCACAAUUCACUAAAAAUAGCAAUUAAUAAAAGUUCUACCCAAAGGAUCAACUGCUCAGGCACGGUCCAAAUAUAUACUCAUCGAUGCAAAGAUAUUUCAUCCAUUUAUCACUAGGUUGGUUAUAGCCAUCGAUAAGCUCUGACAACCAGCUCUUCCUUACUUUUUCGACAGUCAAGGUACGACCAUUGACUGCUUCUCUAAUCAGAUAACAACCCUAGGUACGACCGUAGGAAUUUAAUUAUCCAAUUGCAUUAAAACUAGAAGAACCCAACCCUAACCAAUAAACACGCUAAGAGGGUUUAUUUAAAUUAGAUCUUGCGUUUCCCCAUCAUAAAGCCAAUUAUGGUGGUUGCUAUGGGGUGUUAACUAAAUGAACAAUUACGGAUUCUGUUUAAUUAACGUGGCAGUAGGCUAUUAAAUUAAAUUAAAUACCCGACCGUUGAUAUUCAAUCAAUAAAAUACCCAUGAACAAUUAAUUCAGGAAACGCACGAAUAGCAAUAAAUUGGAAGAAAUAAUGAAAAUUCGAUUAGAUCUCACAGAUGUUAUGGACCGCGCCUUCGCGUUAACUUUUUGGUAGAUGAGGAAAUUAGCCGCUCCUUAUCGUGUCAAUCCCGCGUGGUUUAAUUGAGUUCAUUCAAUUAAUUGCCGAAGAAUUGGAAAAGUGAAACAAUGAAGGAAUAGUUUCUUCGUAUUCUGCGUCCAAAAUGGAGCCCCGCGCACAAGGGGAAUCUUCUUCCCUAAUUGCGGCUAGAGAGGAAAGAAAAAUCCAAAAGCGUCUGACAAAAGAAGAGACAAGACGAAAGCUAAGGUCCUCCUAAUUUCGAAUGUGAUUGCUGCGGAAGAAAAAAAACAAAAGAGCCGCCGAACUGUCUGACAAAUCUUCCCCUAAAAAAAAAGUAGAAAAAGAGAAACUAAGGCUAAGAGUCGUGUCCCCUUGAAUCUUGUUUUUUCCUUUCUUUAUAGCCGCCGCAGGAGCUCUCAGACGUUUGGCCCAAUUCAUUCCAACAAAAGCUAGCCUUUUGGAGUUUUUAUCCCAUGCUUCUCGCGGUUCACGUGGACCGUAGUCCCGCUUUCGAUAACGUCUACCUUCUAAGGCGUGGCCACGCUCUGAGACGAAAAGUCUUCUGGAAAUUUAUCCCGCGAGAUCAUUUUUCAUGCCGACCACCUACAAUUCACACAAAUAUCGAAUAUGAGUGAAAUUUCAAUUCUUAGCACCGUGAAUAGCCAAAAUUAGGACAAAAUAACGGUAUAAAAUGUGCCAAAUAACCGCUCUAUCAGUUUGCAACCCCAGGACAACAAAAGACAUAUAGCCCAUUUAAUUAACAAACCAAUAUCCAAUUUCAGAUUUUGCACAUAUAUAUCCUUUGAAAUACUAUGAAGACAAGUAGUGACUACUGUCUGUUUCUGGCGGAUCAAGUAAACUAUAAGUAGUAUUAUUCCCACUCGAAAUGCCUUUGUCAACUAGUAAGUACUAGUAUAUUCUCUUUCGACUCUGCCUUCCCUUCCCUUCCCCGUGAAAAGCUAUCUGCAGCUACGCAUAGAGUUGAAUAUCGCAGGAAAAAUGGAGGAGGAAACGAAAACGUUGGAGAUAGUUAAAGCUCGUUCAGACAAGAGAGAGUACCGAAGGAUUAUCCUCAAGAAUUCUUUGACAGUCCUACUGAUUAGUGAUCCUGAAACCGAUAAGGUUUUGCAGUCUUUCUUCAUCUAAAUCCACCUUUAUUCUUACUAUUUUCUUUUUCAUUUUCUGCUAAUUUGAUUCAUUGCACAGGGAAUUGGAUUCCUCCAUUAUUUUAUUGAUGCUAAAGUUUCUUCUUCUUCUUCUUCUUUUUUAAUCUUUCUCUUUGUUUUUUUGUUUUGUGGGUGGAAUUUAAUUUAGUGUGCUGCUUCAAUGGAUGUUGGAGUCGGCAAUUACAGCGAUCCUGAAGGUUUAGAAGGCCUUGCCCAUUUUCUAGGUAACAAGUUCCUCACCUCAUUUUCUUUUAUUUUUAAUUUUUUUUAACGGAGGACUUUUUUGACGCAGAAGUUUUUAUUCCACUUUCCUUCUUGCAUGCUGACGUGGAUUUUGUAAGUUUGUCUUAAAAUUCAAUUGUCGGCUAUUGAAAAGGAAAACAAGAAAUACCAGGGAAAAAAAAAAAUAGUAACCGGAGGAGAAAGAAGAAAGACUCUCUGUGUUUGUAAUUAAUUUUAAGAAGACUUUGGUGGCAUUAUUUUAUAUUUGACGUAAAAUAUGGAGCAUGACUUUGGUGUUCGUCCUUUAGUUAAGUCUUGAAAAAGCAUAGCAUUAUUAUUGUUUCAUAAGGCUUGAAUAUUGGGGUGUUUGGUGUUUUGGUACCAACUGCCAUUUUCUAGUCUAGCUAGUUGCUUCCCUAUCUUGUCAGGAAUAAAAUGAAAGAAAAAGGUCUUGAUUGAUUGAUAGAAUUCUACUUGAUGUCAUGUCUUUGUUUCUUCGAGAGUUCACAUUUAUAUACUUUUUUUUUUGGCCUAAUAACUUUAAUGCUCAAUUUGUGUUCUGGUUUCCUUCAAUUAUUUAUGAUUAAGAAGAAUAUAUUACCUUUCAGCAGCUUAAUUAUAUGAGCUUUGUGCUUAUAUUUUGAUGAUAUGAAAAUAAUGAUUCGUUUGAGAAUUAUAUACGAGUGAUAUAACAAAAACUCAACUACAAAAACAUGGAUUUCUCCAUUUGAUGACUUGAUAUUUCACCUUUAUCAUGUUCUUUUUCGUUUUCUGAGUUAAAUAUCACCAACAUUAGGUGACAUUAUUGAUGCUCUGUUUGGAUUCCCUGUUUUUUGAGUGUUUUUCAAAAACUAGUUUUUCAAAUAUAAUAAAAAUUUUUAAAAAGUACUCUAAAAGGUAAUCUAAAAAUUAGUUUAAAUUUUUUUAAAAUUUUAAAAAAUAUCUCAAAUAUAUUUUAGAAACUUUUCUACUCUUAAAUAUCCCAAAAUAUUUUCUAAAAAUAUUCCAAAAUAUACUCUAAAAACUCUGC